RNAcentral lists this ribosomal RNA (460 nucleotides) under uncultured bacterium. RNAcentral describes it as "partial 16S ribosomal RNA". It matches the Rfam family "Bacterial small subunit ribosomal RNA", at positions 338 to 795 of the family's 1533-position model. The record is from RNAcentral.
CCUACGGGAGGCAGCAGUGAGGAAUAUUGGUCAAUGGGCGCGAGCCUGAACCAGCCAAGUAGCGUGAAGGAUGAAUGCCCUACGGGUUGUAAACUUCUUUUAUAAAGGAAUAAAGUUAAACACGUGUGCCUUUUUUUAUGUACUUUAUGAAUAAGGAUCGGAUAACUCCGUGCCGUCAGCCGUGGUAAUACGGAGGAUCCGAGCGUUAUCCGGAUUUAUUGGGGUGAAAGGGAGCGUAGAGGGGUUGUUAAGUCCGUUGUGAAAGUUUGCGGCCUAACCGUAAAAUUGGAAUUGAUACUGGCAGAGCUGAGUACAGUUGAGGGAGGUAGAAUUCGUGGUGUAGCGGUGAAAUGCUUAGAGAUCACGAAGAACUCCGAUUGCGAAGGCAGCCCCCUAAACUGCCACUGACAUUGAUGUUCGAAAGUGUGGGUAUCAAACAGGAUUAGAUACCCGGGUAGUC